GGGAGUAUAGCUCAGAGGUAGAGAGCACUUACCUAGAAUGUGUGAGGCUCUGGGAUCAAUUCCCAGUCUCA
RNAcentral lists this transfer RNA (71 nucleotides) under Ictidomys tridecemlineatus (thirteen-lined ground squirrel). RNAcentral describes it as "Spermophilus tridecemlineatus (thirteen-lined ground squirrel) tRNA". It matches the Rfam family "tRNA". Rfam says of the family: Transfer RNA (tRNA) molecules are approximately 80 nucleotides in length. Their secondary structure includes four short double-helical elements and three loops (D, anti-codon, and T loops). Further hydrogen bonds mediate the characteristic L-shaped molecular structure. tRNAs have two regions of fundamental functional importance: the anti-codon, which is responsible for specific mRNA codon recognition, and the 3' end, to which the tRNAs corresponding amino acid is attached (by aminoacyl-tRNA synthetases). tRNAs cope with the degeneracy of the genetic code in two manners: having more than one tRNA (with a specific anti-codon) for a particular amino acid; and 'wobble' base-pairing, i.e. permitting non-standard base-pairing at the 3rd anti-codon position. Lineage: Eukaryota; Metazoa; Chordata; Mammalia; Rodentia; Sciuridae. The record is from Rfam by way of RNAcentral.